UCCAAUCGAACUCGGAGAUAGCUGGUUCUCCCCGAAAUAGCUUUAGGGCUAGCCUCAUAUUAGAUACCCGGAGGUAAAGCACUGAAUGGCCUAGCGCCCGAGAGGGUAGCGAAGCCUAUCAAACUAAGAAUGCCGGAGUAUUGAUGUAUGGGAGUCAGACAGUGUGAGAUAAAUCUCAUUGUCAAAAGGGAAACAGCCCAGAUCUACAGCUAAGGUCCCAAAUUGUAUCUAAGUGGAAAACGAUGUGGAAAUACGCAGACAACCAGGAUGUUGGCUCAGAAGCAGCCACUCAUUUAAAGAGUGCGUAAUAGCUCACUGGUCGAGCGUCUCUGCGCGGAAAAUUUAACGGGGCUAAGAUACAAACCGAAGCUUAGGCUGCACGUAAGUGCGGGGUAGGGGAGCGUUGUGUAAGCGGAGAAACAGUAGCGUAAGCGGCUGUGGAGUUUACAGAAGUGAGAAUGCCGGAAUGAGUAGCGCGAAUGUGGUGAGAAUCCACAUGGCCGGAAACCUCAGGUUUUUGGAGGAAGGUUCGUCCGCUCCAAGUUAGGCGGGAGCUAAGGUGAGGCCGAAAGGCGUAGCCGAUGCACAGACGGUAGAGAUUCCGUCCCCACCGAAAGAUUUAAGCGCAGGGACACUUUUAGAAGGUCGGAGCCAGGUGUUGGUUCUGGUAGAGAUCGAGGGAAAAUUAGUACCGAAGUCCGGCUGGAUAAGAGGCGAGAAAAGCUGCGUGUAUAUCUAAGGUGCCCGUACCGCAAACCGACACAGGUAGGUAGGAAGAAGAUUCUAAGGCCAACGGGAGAAGGGUUGUUAAGGAACUCGGCAAGUUGACCCCGUAACUUCGGAAUAAGGGGUGCUCAUGAAAGUGAGCCGCAGAGAAUAGGCCCAGGCAACUGUUUACCAAAAACACAGGUUUGUGCUAAAUCGAAAGAUGACGUAUACGAGCUGACGCCUGCCCGGUGCUGGAAGGUUAAAAGGAGAUGUGCAAGCAUUGAAUUGAAGCCCCAGUGAACGGCGGCCGUAACUAUAACGGUCCUAAGGUAGCGAAAUUCCUUGUCAGGUAAGUUCUGACCCGCAUGAAAGGCGUAAUGAUUUGGGCACUGUCUCAACAGCCCGCCCGGCGAAAUUGUAGUACCGGUGAAGAUGCCGGUUACCCGCGACAAGACGGAAAGACCCCAUGGAGCUUUACUGUAGCCUGAUAUUGGGUUUCGGUGUUGCAUGCACAGGAUAGAUGGGACACUGGGAAGGCAGUGCUUUGGCAUUGCUGGAGUGGACGUUGGGAUACCAUCCUUGCGACAUUGGAAUUCUAACCUGCGCCUCUGAAUCGAGGCGGGGGACAUUGUCAGGUGGGCAGUUUGACUGGGGCGGUCGCCUCCUAAAAAGUAGCGGAGGCGUUCAAAGGUUCGUUCGAUCUGGACGGAAACCAGAUGAUUGAGUGCAAACGCAUAAACGAGCCUGACUGCGAGACUGACGGGUCGAGCAGAGACGAAAGUCGGAGUUAGUGAUCCGGUGGUAUGUGAGUGGAAAUGCCAUCGCUCAACGGAUAAAAGUUACCCUGGGGAUAACAGGCUGAUCUCCCCCAAGAGUCCACAUCGACGGGGAGGUUUGGCACCUCGAUGUCGGCUCAUCGCAUCCUGGGGCUGAAUUCGGUCCCAAGGGUUUGGCUGUUCGCCAAUUAAAGCGGCACGCGAGCUGGGUUCAGAACGUCGUGAGACAGUUCGGUCCCUAUCUGUUGCGGGCGUAAGAGAUUUGAAGGGAGCUGUCCUUAGUACGAGAGGACCGGGAUGGACAUACCUCUGGUGUACCAGUUGUUCUGCCAAGGGCACGGCUGGGUAGCUACGUAUGGACGAGAUAAACGCUGAAGGCAUCUAAGCGUGAAACUCCCCCUGAGAUAAGAUCUCCACUGAGGCUCGACGUAGACUAUGUCGUAGAUAGGUCAGAGGUGGAAGUGCAGUAAUGCAUGGAGCUGACUGAUACUAAUAAGCCGAAAGCUUGACCA
Molecule: ribosomal RNA, 1996 nt
Filed under: human gut metagenome
Description: bacterial LSU rRNA
Rfam family: Bacterial large subunit ribosomal RNA
Source: RNAcentral